This 700-nucleotide ribosomal RNA is filed under the name uncultured bacterium. RNAcentral's name for it is "bacterial SSU rRNA". It matches the Rfam family "Bacterial small subunit ribosomal RNA", at positions 42 to 787 of the family's 1533-position model. The record is from RNAcentral.
UCAGGCCUAACACAUGCAAGUCGAACGAAGUAGCAAUACUUAGUGGCAGACGGGUGAGUAACAUGUAGGUAUCUACCCUUUGGCCUGGAAUAACACGAGGAAACUUGUGCUAAUACCGGAUAAGUCUUUACGGAGAAAGCUUUAUGCACCAUUGGAUGAGCCUGCACUUGAUUAGUUUGUUGGUGGGGUAAUGGCCUACCAAGACUGUGAUCAAUAGCUGAUUUGAGAGGAUGAUCAGCCACAUUGGGACUGAGACACGGCCCAAACUCCUACGGGAGGCAGCAGUGGGGAAUCUUGCACAAUGGAGGAAACUCUGAUGCAGCGAUGCCGCGUGAGUGAAGAAGGCCUUUGGGUUGUAAAGCUCUUUCGUCGGGGAAGAAAAUGACUGUACCCGAAUAAGAAGGUCCGGCUAACUUCGUGCCAGCAGCCGCGGUAAUACGAAGGGACCUAGCGUAGUUCGGAAUUACUGGGCUUAAAGAGUUCGUAGGUGGUUGAAAAAGUUAGUGGUGAAAUCCCAGAGCUUAACUCUGGAACUGCCAUUAAAACUUUUCAGCUAGAGUAUGAUAGAGGAAAGCAGAAUUUCUAGUGUAGAGGUGAAAUUCGUAGAUAUUAGAAAGAAUACCAAUUGCGAAGGCAGCUUUCUGGAUCACUACUGACACUGUGGAACGAAAGCAUGGGUAGCGAAGAGGAUUAGAUACCC